Molecule: ribosomal RNA, 475 nt
Filed under: Euphausia pacifica (North Pacific krill)
Lineage: Eukaryota; Metazoa; Arthropoda; Malacostraca; Euphausiacea; Euphausiidae
Description: partial 16S ribosomal RNA
Rfam family: Bacterial large subunit ribosomal RNA
Source: RNAcentral
CGCCUGUUUAUCAAAAACAUGUCUUUAUGAAAUAUUUAUAAAGUCUGGCCUGCCCACUGAAUUUUAAAGGGCCGCGGUAUUUUGACCGUGCAAAGGUAGCAUAGUCAUUUGUCUCUUAAUUGGAGGCUUGUAUGAAUGGUCGCACAAGAAACAAACUGUCUUCAAUAAAAUUAAUUGAAUUUAACUUUUAAGUAAAAAGGCUUAAAUAAAUUAAAGUGACGAUAAGACCCUAUAAAACUUGAUAAAUAAAAUUAAAAAAGCGUAUUAGUUUAUUAAAACUUUUUUUUUCUAACUUAUUUUAUUGGGGCGAUAAAAAUAUAAUAAGUAACUGUUUUUAAAAUUUUAAUGGUUAAUAACUAAAUUAAAUAAAUGAUCCUUUAAUAAAGAUUAAAAGAUUAAGUUACUUUAGGGAUAACAGCGUAAUUUUCUUUGAGAGUUCAUAUCUACAAGAAAGAUUGUGACCUCGAUGUUGAAU